RNAcentral lists this ribosomal RNA (410 nucleotides) under uncultured bacterium. RNAcentral's name for it is "bacterial SSU rRNA". It matches the Rfam family "Bacterial small subunit ribosomal RNA", at positions 114 to 518 of the family's 1533-position model. The record is from RNAcentral.
CGUAUGACCAACCUACCUAUACGAGGAAGGGAACGUAACCGGCGAAAGUCGGACUAAUACCGCAUAAAACAGGGGCACCGCAUGGUGAUAUUUGUUAAAGAAAUUCGCUGAUAGAUGGGCAUGCGUUCCAUUAGGUAGUUGGUGAGGUAACGGCUCACCAAGCCGACGAUGGAUAGGGGAACUGAGAGGUUGGUCCCCCACACUGGUACUGAGACACGGACCAGACUCCUACGGGAGGCAGCAGUGAGGAAUAUUGGUCAAUGGGCGGGAGCCUGAACCAGCCAAGUCGCGUGAAGGAAGAAGGAUCUAUGGUUCGUAAACUUCUUUUGCAGGGGAAUAAAGUGCAGGACGUGUCCUGUUUUGUAUGUACCCUGAGAAUAAGGAUCGGCUAACUCCGUGCCAGCCGCAGC